This 468-nucleotide ribosomal RNA is filed under the name uncultured bacterium. RNAcentral describes it as "partial 16S ribosomal RNA". It matches the Rfam family "Bacterial small subunit ribosomal RNA", at positions 28 to 507 of the family's 1533-position model. The record is from RNAcentral.
GACGAACGCUGGCGGCGUGCUUAACACAUGCAAGUCGAACGGAAAGGCCCUGCUUUUGUGGGGUGCUCGAGUGGCGAACGGGUGAGUAACACGUGAGUAACCUGCCCUUGACUUUGGGAUAACUUCAGGAAACUGGGGCUAAUACCGGAUAGGAGCUCCUGCUGCAUGGUGGGGGUUGAAAAGUUUCGGCGGUUGGGGUUGGACUCGCGGCUUAUCAGCUUGUUGGUGGGGUAGUGGCUUACCAAGGCUUUGACGGGUAGCCGGCCUGAGAGGGUGACCGGCCACAUUGGGACUGAGAUACGGCCCAGACUCCUACGGGAGGCAGCAGUGGGGAAUAUUGCACAAUGGGCGGAAGCCUGAUGCAGCAACGCCGCGUGCGGGAUGACGGCCUUCGGGUUGUAAACCGCUUUCGCCUGUGACGAAGCGUGAGUGACGGUAAUGGGUAAAGAAGCACCGGCUAACUACGUG